Molecule: microRNA precursor, 92 nt
Filed under: Podarcis lilfordi (Lilford's wall lizard)
Lineage: Eukaryota; Metazoa; Chordata; Lepidosauria; Squamata; Lacertidae
Source: RNAcentral
UUACAUGAAUAUAUAUAUACACACACACACGGAUUUAUAUAUAUAUACAUAUAUAUAUAUGUGUGUGUGUGUGUGUGUGUGUGUGUGUGUAU